RNAcentral lists this transfer RNA (71 nucleotides) under Sulfurisoma sediminicola. It matches the Rfam family "tRNA". Rfam says of the family: Transfer RNA (tRNA) molecules are approximately 80 nucleotides in length. Their secondary structure includes four short double-helical elements and three loops (D, anti-codon, and T loops). The record is from Rfam by way of RNAcentral. Lineage: Bacteria; Pseudomonadati; Pseudomonadota; Betaproteobacteria; Nitrosomonadales; Sterolibacteriaceae.
GGCGCGGUAGCAAAGUGGUUAUGCAGCGGCCUGCAAAGCCGUCUACGUCGGUUCGAUUCCGGCCCGCGCCU